UGAGGAAUAUUGGUCAAUGGGCGGAAGCCUGAACCAGCCAAGUAGCGUGCAGGAUGACUGCCCUAUGGGUUGUAAACUGCUUUUAUGCGGGGAUAAUUGAGCCUACGUGUAGGUUUUUGCAGGUACCGCAUGAAUAAGGACCGGCUAAUUCCGUGCCAGCAGCCGCGGUAAUACGGAAGGUCCGGGCGUUAUCCGGAUUUAUUGGGUUUAAAGGGAGCGCAGGCGGCCUUUUAAGCGUGUUGUGAAAACCAGUCGCUCAACGACUGGCUUGCAGCGCGAACUGAAUGGCUUGAGUACGGACGAGGCAGGCGGAAUUCGUGGUGUAGCGGUGAAAUGCUUAGAUAUCACGAAGAACCCCGAUUGCGUAGGCAGCCUGCCAGGCCGUUACUGACGCUAAAGCUCGAAAGUGCGGGUAUCGAACAGG
Molecule: ribosomal RNA, 424 nt
Filed under: uncultured bacterium
Lineage: Bacteria
Description: bacterial SSU rRNA
Rfam family: Bacterial small subunit ribosomal RNA
Source: RNAcentral